CAAGAAAUAGUUUAUUUUAAAAUAUUAAUUUUGGAGAUUAAAGAUGGUUUGUGCUUUUCUUGA
RNAcentral lists this transfer RNA (63 nucleotides) under Tenebrionidae sp. 1 ACP-2013. RNAcentral describes it as "tRNA-Pro". The record is from RNAcentral. Lineage: Eukaryota; Metazoa; Arthropoda; Insecta; Coleoptera; Tenebrionidae.